Long non-coding RNA from Diorhabda carinulata, 187 nucleotides. RefSeq lists it as uncharacterized. The transcript has 3 exons. The record is from RefSeq and is a predicted model, not a curated record. NCBI's taxonomy places the organism in Eukaryota, Metazoa, Arthropoda, Insecta, Coleoptera, Chrysomelidae.
GCCCAGCCGAGUUUUAAAAGUGUUUAUAAACGUGUCAGUGGACUAAGUACGGCUCUUAGCAACAAUCAAUUUGAUAGGAACCGGAUUUUCCAUCGAUCUAAUCGCCAGUGUCUAAGUACUCGAAUUUUAAUAGAUAUGAUUCUAGACGAGAUCAGAUAUGCAAAAAAAUCGAGGAUUUACCUAUAAG